UGGCUGCUCACCUUACUCAUUUGAACCAUUUCGGUUACCCAAUCGCGCGUCUUCUUGAACCCCGCCGCUCGCAGCACCGACAGCCGCCGCGGGAGCCGGACAAUACCCCAGGCCCGCCUCGCGCUGCCGCGACCAAUGGCUGCUCACCUUACUCAUUUGAACCAUUUCGGUUACCCAAUCGCGCGUCUUCUUCUAGCUAGAACCCCGCCCCCACGGCACCGCCUCUCUAACGGCUGUUUGUUUUUGCACACGGCACGUAGAGGUGGGGUUUCCAACCCCAACACUGACGCGCUUUCGGCUUCUCUCCACGCGCCGAGCUUGACGAACAGGAGGACCGACCAAUGGGGGCGGAAAAGAGCCAAUGAAAACAUCGCCCGCGAGAAAGGGAGGUAUGUUCGUGUUGUGACGGCUGGACCGCCACAAGUGGCGCCCGAACAGGGACUUGAAGAACAGGGACCUGAGUAUCGAGGGAUUCAGUGAAGGACACCGCUGGAUAAAGAAUAAAAGAAGAUCUCGUCAAAAAGAAAGAAGAGGACCUUCAAAAGGAAGGCAAAAGAGGAGCGGUGAGUUUUCUUAUAAAUAUUAAAAAUGGGAUCCCUGGUGUGAAUAUUCUGCAACAAUGCAUAAGAUUCUAAUAAGAUUACUGACAUUUAGAAAUUUGAAGAAAGGAGCUAAAGGUGUAGGGAAGGUGUGAUACGUAGGGGAAGAACAAAAAGGGAAAAGAAAAAAAUGUGAGAGAAUGAAAAGAUGAAAAUAAAGUGUUUGUAGAUGGGGAGGGGAGGAGGGGGUGA
RNAcentral lists this long non-coding RNA (791 nucleotides) under Fukomys damarensis (Damara mole-rat). Its description in RNAcentral is "lncRNA (ENSFDAG00000031183.1)". Lineage: Eukaryota; Metazoa; Chordata; Mammalia; Rodentia; Bathyergidae. The record is from RNAcentral.